AUACACCAAAACAGUGAGAUGUUGCGACGGAGAGACACCAGAACGACGACAAGACUGUGGGUGGAGCAGAUGGGAUGAAGAAAGUCGCCGCUAGAAUUGCCGGAGAGGGGCGGCGGCGCCGAGAGGUAAAGGAAAGGAAGCUAAGCUGAGUGAUGGGAGGAAGAAGAUCUGCGUUCCUAUUUUAUUUUUAAUUUUUAUUCUUA
This 203-nucleotide long non-coding RNA is filed under the name Trifolium pratense (red clover). Its description in RNAcentral is "long non-coding RNA (TPRA_LNC003349)". The record is from RNAcentral. Lineage: Eukaryota; Viridiplantae; Streptophyta; Magnoliopsida; Fabales; Fabaceae.